AUGACUUUGAUUACAGCUGUCAAGUCUGGAUGUGAUGAAGGAGUUUGGAGUGAGAUCAAACUGGACCAGUCUCCCUCUGAGGUGAAAAGACCUGGAGAGACAGUGAAGAUGUCAUGUAUCAUAUCUGACUUUGACAUGACAAGGCACUAUAUUCACUGGAUACAACAGAGACCAGGAGAAGCUCUGGAGUGGAUUGGGAGGAUGGAUGCAGGUUCAAACUCUGCUAGCUAUGGCAGCUCCUUUCAAAGCCGUUUCAUCAUGACUGAAGAUGUUCCCAGCAGCUCUCAGUACCUCGAGGUCCAGAGCCUGACAGCAGCAGAUUCUGCUGUUUACUUCUGUGCUCGCAGAGACACAGUGACUGAAGACAGUGGAGCAGCUGCACAAAAACCUCCACAGACAACAAACAGCAAUGUGUGGAUGGUCAGACUCUGA
Non-coding RNA from Perca fluviatilis (European perch), 432 nucleotides. Lineage: Eukaryota; Metazoa; Chordata; Actinopteri; Perciformes; Percidae. The record is from the annotation of a RefSeq genome assembly.